RNAcentral lists this ribosomal RNA (512 nucleotides) under uncultured bacterium. Its description in RNAcentral is "partial 16S ribosomal RNA". It matches the Rfam family "Bacterial small subunit ribosomal RNA", at positions 28 to 523 of the family's 1533-position model. The record is from RNAcentral.
GACGAACGCUGGCGGCGUGCCUAAUACAUGCAAGUCGAGCGGAAUUGGGGGAGCUUGCUCCUUCCAGUUUAGCGGCGGACGGGUGAGUAACACGUGGGCAACCUGCCCUGCAGAUCGGGAUAACUCCGGGAAACCGGUGCUAAUACCGAAUAGUUUGGCGCCUCUCCUGAGGCGCUACGGAAAGACGGUUUCGGCUGUCACUGCAGGAUGGGCCCGCGGCGCAUUAGCUAGUUGGUGGGGUAACGGCCCACCAAGGCGACGAUGCGUAGCCGACCUGAGAGGGUGACCGGCCACACUGGGACUGAGACACGGCCCAGACUCCUACGGGAGGCAGCAGUAGGGAAUCUUCCGCAAUGGACGCAAGUCUGACGGAGCAACGCCGCGUGAGUGACGAAGGUUUUCGGAUCGUAAAACUCUGUUGUGAGGGAAGAACACGUACCAACUAACUAUUGGUACCUUGACGGUACCUCACCAGAAAGCCACGGCUAACUACGUACCAGCCGCCGCCGUAA